Molecule: ribosomal RNA, 390 nt
Filed under: uncultured Paraphysomonas
Lineage: Eukaryota; Chrysophyceae; Chromulinales
Description: partial small subunit ribosomal RNA
Rfam family: Eukaryotic small subunit ribosomal RNA
Source: RNAcentral
GCUUGUCUCAAAGAUUAAGCCAUGCAUGUCUAAGUAUAAACAAAUCUAUACUGUGAAACUGCGAAUGGCUCAUUAUAUCAGUUAUAGUUUAUUUGAUGGUUCUUGCUACUUGGAUAACCGUAGUAAUUCUAGAGCUAAUACAUGCAUCAAACCUCGACUUUUUUGGAAGAGGUGUAUUUAUUAGAUGGAAACCAAUGCGGGGCAACCCGGAUUCAGGUGAUUCAUAAUAACUUUCGGAUCGUUUACGAUGCAUCAUUCAAGUUUCUGCCCUAUCAGCUUUGGAUGGUAGGGUAUUGGCCUACCAUGGCUUUAACGGGUAACGGAGAAUUAGGGUUCGAUUCCGGAGAGGGAGCCUGAGAAAUGGCUACCACAUCCAAGGAAGGCAGCAGG